UAAAUAUUCGCAAAUUCUCAAAGUGCCGAUAUUCGCGAUUAAUAUUCGCUAUUCGAAUAUUCCCACCCAACACUACAGGUGAGUAGUAACCAAAGUAAAGUAGAGAAGACUCACAGACUCUACUCAUUCACUGGAUAUAAUAUUAUGGUCAUUUUUUAGGCUUUAUUUUAAGCAAAAAUUAAAACAGAAGUAUGUAAAUGAUACUGACUACUGAGGGAUCAUUCUAACCACUUGCAGUGACCUACCCACGGAUGCCAUUUGGUUUCUGUAAUUUACCUGCUGUUUUUCCAUGACCCAGAGGUAAGUAGUGAAUUUCUGAGACUGGCCAGAUUCUGUACUGCAACCCUUCGCCCUGCUUUUAUUCUGCUCUAGUUCUCUAUCAUCUGGAUUGGAUCUAUUUUUUUCUGGUGAUCGAUGUCUCUUCAGUUCCCCUACUUUCAUAGCAAACACCAAAAAUUCACUCUCUUCCAUUCGACUUCUUUUCCCAAAAAUUUUUUGCUGACUAGAAAAACUACUUCAUUGCAGUUUGUGAGCUACUGGCGAUGAAACUUGCCUUGGAGAAAUGGUGACACCUCUUAGAAUGAGCAGACUUUCCAGGGACUCUUUUGAACUCAUGUGAAUCUCGAACAGUCCAGUCUACUCGAAGGCUAAAUCCAUGGAAUGAAAGCUGGACCGUCUUCCUCUCACAUAUUGUCCGGCAGAGAAGAAUCAGAGUUUUCUUUCCUAAGGCUGCUGCAUAUCUCUGAGUAUAACCACAUCCUGGCCAAUACAGAAAUUCCCCUGAGGUUCUGGAUACUGGUGGAUUAUUUCUGAAAAAUUAGCCAGUUUGUCCUGAUAUCUGCAUUACUUUCUGAUCCUUCGGUAUCUCAAACCUUUCUUAAGGAGAUUUUCCAGCUCCACGUUCUCCCUGCAAAAGUCUUGGAUCGAGGAGUGCAAUUUGUCUCCCAAGUUCUGGAAAGCAUAAUGUAAAUCCUUGCAUAAUGCCCUACAUUUUCCUUCUGGUUACUAUGUACAGAGCAACAGUCAGACAAAGAGAAUCAGCCAGGUUCCUACAAUAUAGGAUCCGCUCAGUGGAUAUCUUUUAUAUACAGUAAGAUUGACCAGUCAAGAAUGGAUAGGAACAGGGACAAGAUGGCGGAGAGGAUAAUCAAUCUCACCCUAGAGAUCCUCUUCCGGCUUAUUGGAGAGGACUACACACUAGUGAAGAAGACCUCUAGUGAGCGCUGUCAGGACCCUGUGUCUGAAGG
Long non-coding RNA from Bufo bufo (common toad), 1247 nucleotides. RefSeq lists it as uncharacterized. The transcript has 3 exons. Lineage: Eukaryota; Metazoa; Chordata; Amphibia; Anura; Bufonidae. The record is from RefSeq and is a predicted model, not a curated record.